RNAcentral lists this transfer RNA (97 nucleotides) under Helicobacter sp. Its description in RNAcentral is "tRNA-Sec". It matches the Rfam family "Selenocysteine transfer RNA". RNAcentral also lists the same sequence under 2 other names. Lineage: Bacteria; Pseudomonadati; Campylobacterota; Epsilonproteobacteria; Campylobacterales; Helicobacteraceae. The record is from RNAcentral.
GGGAGGCAAGUGUGCUGGUGUGCGCCUUGGGCUUCAAACCCAAAGAAGGGCUAGGUGUCUAGCUCUUGGGGAGUUCGAUUCUCUCGCCUUCUCGCCA